This 253-nucleotide ribosomal RNA is filed under the name uncultured bacterium. RNAcentral describes it as "partial 16S ribosomal RNA". It matches the Rfam family "Bacterial small subunit ribosomal RNA", at positions 524 to 776 of the family's 1533-position model. The record is from RNAcentral.
UACGUAGGGUGCGAGCGUUAAUCGGAAUUACUGGGCGUAAAGCGUGCGCAGGCGGUUUUGUAAGCCAGAUGUGAAAUCCCCGGGCUUAACCUGGGAAUGGCAUUUGGGACUGCAAGGCUCGAGUGCGGCAGAGGAGACUGGAAUUCCUGGUGUAGCGGUGAAAUGCGCAGAUAUCAGGAGGAAUACCGGUGGCGAAGGCGGCCUUCUGGACGGUGACUGACGCUGAGACGCGAAAGCGUGGGGAGCAAACAGG